GUGGGGAAUCUUGCACAAUGGGCGCAAGCCUGAUGCAGCAACGCCGCGUGCGGGAAGACGGCCCUAGGGUUGUAAACCGCUUUCAGGAGGGAAGAAAAUGACGGUACCUCCAGAAGAAGGUGCGGCCAACUACGUGCCAGCAGCCGCGGUGACACGUAGGCACCAAGCGUUAUCCGGAUUUAUUGGGCGUAAAGAGCUCGUAGGCGGUUCGGUAAGUCGGGUGUGAAAAUCCAAGGCUCAACCUUGGGACGCCACCCGAUACUGCUGUGACUAGAGUGCAGUAGGGGAGCAGGGAAUUCCUGGUGUAGCGGUGAAAUGCGCAGAUAUCAGGAGGAACACCAGUGGCGAAGGCGCUGCUCUGGGCUGUAACUGACGCUGAGGAGCGAAAGCAUGGGUAGCAAACAGGAUUAGAAACCCGUGUAGUCC
This 426-nucleotide ribosomal RNA is filed under the name uncultured Ilumatobacter sp. RNAcentral describes it as "bacterial SSU rRNA". It matches the Rfam family "Bacterial small subunit ribosomal RNA", at positions 354 to 796 of the family's 1533-position model. The record is from RNAcentral. Lineage: Bacteria; Bacillati; Actinomycetota; Acidimicrobiia; Acidimicrobiales; Ilumatobacteraceae.